RNAcentral lists this ribosomal RNA (265 nucleotides) under uncultured archaeon. Its description in RNAcentral is "partial 16S ribosomal RNA". It matches the Rfam family "Archaeal small subunit ribosomal RNA", at positions 717 to 982 of the family's 1478-position model. The record is from RNAcentral.
ACACGACUACAUUAGAUACCCGCGUAGUCCCAGCCCUAAACGAUGCGCGUUAGGUGUAUCGGUGACCACGAGUCACCGAGGUGCCGAAGGGAAACCGUGAAACGUGCCGCCUGGGAAGUACGGUCGCAAGGCUGAAACUUAAAGGAAUUGGCGGGGGAGCACCACAACGGGUGGAGCUUGCGGUUUAAUUGGAUUCAACGCCGGAAAUCUUACCGGGACCGACAGCAACAUGAAGGCCAGGCUGAAGACUUUGCCGGAUUAGCUG